GAUUCUCUUAACAAUCUCAUCUUUCUUUCAACACAUAAACACCAAAGUGUGCUUGAUAAUUCAACAAUAUGAUGUCAUGACCAUCUGUUUUAUUUGAUUCUCCUGAUUUCUCCUGAUGACAUGUCAGAGGAUGCUGAACCUGAUGGUUGUGAACACUUUGACAGCUGAGAAAGCAGUCGCAGAUUUUUUGAUGUAUGUUGCACCCUGUACAGAUUCUUCCAGAAGCCUACGGUUUCAGCGCAGUACAAAGACACCAUUGUGUAAAACAGUCAGAAAACAUCAACACAUGGACCGAGUCACCGAACACCUUAAAGCAGAGUGAUGAGACGCCGAUCGUCUUCGUCGUCCUCAGAGGAGGAGGAAGAGGAGGAUGAUGAUGAGGAGUCACAACCUGAACAUUAUAUUCCUCAGAUUUAUUCCACAGAAACUUGUUAAUAAUUAUAGUUUAUAACGUAAAGGCUAAAGUGACUUUUUAUACAUUUAUAGCUGGUACAUUUUUAUUAAAUGUUGUGGAAUUUCUGUGAAAUCUUUAUCAUCACUUGUAUGUUAUGUUUAUUUUGUAAAUAAAUUAAAAUAUUGUAUUUUA
This is a long non-coding RNA of Tachysurus vachellii, 586 nucleotides long. RefSeq lists it as uncharacterized. Lineage: Eukaryota; Metazoa; Chordata; Actinopteri; Siluriformes; Bagridae. The transcript is spliced from 3 exons. The record is from RefSeq and is a predicted model, not a curated record.